AGCUUUACAUCAGGAAGGCCCCCCCCCCCCUCUGGAUCUCGUCUCCUUCACACAUCCCCCACCGACUGAGCUUCUUCUUUAGAGAAGAAGAGCCAUUUCAAUGUCUUCUCCUUAACCAACCCAACAACCCCUGCUCUCUUCUUCCAUCCUCACACCUUCCUGCUCUCACUCCUUCACUCACGUUUUUAGCACACACACACUCCUAAAACAAUACAAGCACUCAAAAUUGCUAGAUUUCGAAAAUCUGGAAAAAUAAAAUCCAAAGAGCUUCAAACAAAAGUUGAAAACUAAAAUUAAAAGGACUGCUUUCAAUUUCUUCCGGUUUUGGAGUCGAUUUCCGGGUCUGUUGAAGGAACUUUGUUGGUGUUUGUUCGCUGCCGGGAGCUCGAAAUUCAUCUUCUAUUUUAGACCCUUGCUUGUUGUAAUCAGUUUAUUUUCAGCUAUUUAGAUCCAGGCAAUACGGGUCGAGCGGCAGUUGCUGAUCUAGGUUCCAGAGUUUGGAGAUUAUCGAGGUAGCUGCAUGACAUUUGCAGGCCUUAACCCUCCUUUUUUAUCUCUGCCGUACUUUCAGUUUAUAUCUUCAGAUACUGUAGUGGACUGUAUUUAUUUAUCUAGACACUCAUGUACACCCUGAUUUUUGGGCUUGAUUGUAUCACUUUGAGAUUUUUCUGAUGCUUCAAACAGUUUUGUUUUAUGUAAAA
Molecule: long non-coding RNA, 701 nt
Organism: Nicotiana tabacum (common tobacco)
Lineage: Eukaryota; Viridiplantae; Streptophyta; Magnoliopsida; Solanales; Solanaceae
Source: RefSeq, a predicted model, not a curated record